GAUGAACGCUGGCGGCGUGCCUAAUACAUGCAAGUCGAACGAAACUUCUUUAUCACCGAGUGCUUGCACUCACCGAUAAAGAGUUGAGUGGCGAACGGGUGAGUAACACGUGGGCAACCUGCCCAAAAGAGGGGGAUAACACUUGGAAACAGGUGCUAAUACCGCAUAACCAUAGUUACCGCAUGGUAACUAUGUAAAAGGUGGCUAUACUACCGCUUUUGGAUGGGCCCGCGGCGCAUUAGCUAGUUGGUAGGGUAAAGGCUUACCAAGGCAAUGAUGCGUAGCCGAAUUGAGAGGUUGAUCGGCCACAUUGGGACUGAGACACGGCCCAAACUCCUACGGGAGGCAGCAGUAGGGAAUCUUCCACAAUGGGCGAAAGCCUGAUGGAGCAACGCCGCGUGGGUGAAGAAGGUCUUCGGAUCGUAAAACCCUGUUGUUAGAGAAGAAAGUGCGUGAGAGUAACUGUUUACGUUUCGACGGUAUCUAACCAGAAAGCCACGGCUAACUACGUG
RNAcentral lists this ribosomal RNA (512 nucleotides) under uncultured bacterium. RNAcentral's name for it is "partial 16S ribosomal RNA". It matches the Rfam family "Bacterial small subunit ribosomal RNA", at positions 28 to 507 of the family's 1533-position model. The record is from RNAcentral.